Non-coding RNA from Zygosaccharomyces rouxii, 73 nucleotides. Lineage: Eukaryota; Fungi; Ascomycota; Saccharomycetes; Saccharomycetales; Saccharomycetaceae. The record is from the annotation of a RefSeq genome assembly.
UCCGUGAUAGUUUUAGGGGUCAGAAUGGGCGCUUGUCGCGUGCCAGAUCGGGGUUCAAUUCCCCGUCGCGGAG